GUGCAUCAAUACCAGGAAACUGAUGUUGGACCCACAUAAACAUACAAACCUGUGUGCUCUCAUCACAGCGUGAGUUUGCAUAACCACAGCUACAGCCAAGGUACAGGAAGAGUGCCCCCGUGCCACUCGCUGGUACAGGCAUGUCCCUUCUGCGUUUUACUGCCUACCACGCACAACUGCUGCUGAUCGCUGUUCAGAUUCCAUAAUCCUGGGCAUGAUGACAAAGGAAGGAGACAAUCACUAGUCCUGUACAGCUUCCCACAGCAAUGAGCAGCACUGCAAGAUACCCCAAAAGGUACACAAGUGUCCCUCAUAGAUUUGGUGUUUCCAACGCUGUGUAAUUGGACUUAAGGCCACUCAACAGGAGGGCAAAUCAGGGAUGGUACUAAAAACCCCAUCAACUACCCAGAGCUACUGAGGCCGUGGGUCUUAGAAAAGAAUCUCUUACUAAACUUGCUAGAUUGACAUGAUUCUUUGCUGCGUUUUAAAUUGUAUUUUCAUACCCGCAGACAAGUAUAACUCUUACCCUUCAAAAAAGAAGUCUCUCUUUGACCUUUGAACUCUCAGUCCUAAGUCUUUAUCAAAUCCUUCCCCUCAGGGCUCAGGGAAAGAGAUUAGGGGAGAUUGAAAGAGCCAUAGGGGAUGAAGGACAGCAAGGGAACAGAGUCUUCCAGACACUCUAGGACUGAGGCACGCACGAACUCACAUGUGUGGCACCAUGCACAGGCUACACAGGUCUCAGCCAGAUAAUCCAAGGAGUAGAUACAAUCUCUUCUCCCUGUCCAAGAUGCUAUUGCCAACUGGCAUCUACUUGCAAAGGGAACAUUUGUUUUCUCUAAUGGAGUCUCACCAGGAAUACAAACCACACUUCAGGGUAGGGCCCGUGGCCAGCAAUAGAUGGCCCAACACAAAAUAAAUUCAAUGGUAUUUUUGGAAACUUUACCAUCUCAUAAUGCGUUGUCUAGGAUUUUCCCCCCUUUUCUUCUUUCUUACAGGUCUUUUGCUUAUAUGUUACAAUUUCUGAUAUGAUACAAUUUAUGCUUUGUAGGUUCUGUUUUGUGUCCACCCCUUGUAGUAGUAUUAAUUUAAAACCUUGCUAUGGUUAGAAGUAUUUAGUGAUUUUUCUAUGACCUACAUCUGUGUUUCCUUUACGAUUUACUGUUAAUGUCUUGUUCGCCCUUUGUGGCUUCUCUUAGCAAAAUGUCUGCUGUGAACCAUGAUCAUUCCUCUUGAGACUUUGCUUUUCGAUUAUAGAGUCUUAAGAAUUCUGUGUGUAGGGGGCUGGUGAGAUGGCUCAGUGGGUAAGAGCACCCGACUGCUCUUCCGAAGGUCCAAAGUUCAAAUCCCAGCAACCACAUGGUGGCU
Molecule: long non-coding RNA, 1365 nt
Filed under: Mus musculus (house mouse)
Lineage: Eukaryota; Metazoa; Chordata; Mammalia; Rodentia; Muridae
Description: predicted gene, 40264
Source: RNAcentral